RNAcentral lists this long non-coding RNA (423 nucleotides) under Fragaria vesca (wild strawberry). RNAcentral's name for it is "long non-coding RNA (FVES_LNC002164)". The record is from RNAcentral. Lineage: Eukaryota; Viridiplantae; Streptophyta; Magnoliopsida; Rosales; Rosaceae.
ACCGAUUUUAACAUAAAACACAUAGAACCGCGGGAAGGAAAACGAUGGAGGAAGACGGAGGAGAACAAACUCAGCCGCCGCAUCCGGUGACCUCCGAAACCUCAAUCUCCGACCCGAACCUAAAUCCACCGUCCACGUGUCCCGAUACCUCACUCGAUCCUACGCACUCCGACGGCUCCGACUCAGACCCGCCGUCCACGUGUCCCGAUACCGCACUCGAUCCUACGCACUCCAACGGCUCCGACUCAAACCCACCGUCCACGUGUCCCGAUACCGCACUCGAUCGUACACACUCCGACGGCUCCGACUCAAACCCGCCGCUGAACCAGACCGAGCUGUUCCGAGCUCUCGAAGUCGUCGAGAGAGACUCCGUCGCCAUCGCCGGAAGCUUCACCUCCCUGUUCUCCUCCCUCCGCCUCGCUC